RNAcentral lists this long non-coding RNA (654 nucleotides) under Physcomitrium patens. Its description in RNAcentral is "long non-coding RNA (PPAT_LNC014018)". The record is from RNAcentral. Lineage: Eukaryota; Viridiplantae; Streptophyta; Bryopsida; Funariales; Funariaceae.
AUUUGGUUAGGGUUUGAUUUAAGGUUUAGGAUUUGGUUAGGAUUUAAUUUAGGAUUUAGGAUUAGGAUUAAGGUUUGAUUAGGAUUUGAUUUAGGAUUAGGAUUUAGAAUUUCGUUUAGGAUUUAGGAUUAAGAUUUGAUUACGAUUUGAUUUAGAGUUAGGGUUGAGGAUUUGGUUAAGAUUUGGUUUAGGAUUUAGGAUUUGAUUAGGGUUUGAUUUAGGAUUUAGGGUUUUAUUUGAGUUUAUUUAGGAUAUAAGAUUUAAUUAGUUUUUGGCCUAAAGUUUGAAUGAAAUAAGAUUUCAACUAGGAUUAAAUUAAGAUUGAAUUGAGAUAUAUUUGAGAUAUGUUUGUAAUCAUUCUAAUAUUUCUUUAAGAUUUCUUAUUGUUUCUUUAGAAUUCUUUUGAAGUUUCUCUGAAUUUGAUUAAAACUUGUUUAGUAUUGUUAGUGUUCUAUUAGAAUUAGGAUUUUGUUGUUGCAAUUUCGAUUCUAUCUUCCACAACCAGGUGCGUGGAGCAUUUUCAAGCAAGACUUCACGUAUUAUGACAUUGUGAUACCAAAAAUGUUAUAUUUUACCAUAUAUUUAAAAAAAAAUACUAUUCUUAAAGAUCUUUAUUUCUUUUAUAUUGUCUUUAUACUUGUAACAAUUUUAAUA